GUGGGGAAUAUUGGACAAUGGGCGAAAGCCUGAUCCAGCCAUGCCGCGUGUGUGAAGAUGGUCUUCGGAUUGUAAAGCACUUUAAGUUGGGAGGAAGGGCAGUAAGUUAAUACCUUGCUGUUUUGACGUUACCGACAGAAUAAGCACCGGCUAACUUCGUGCCAGCAGCCGCGGUAAUACGAAGGGUGCAAGCGUUAAUCGGAAUUACUGGGCGUAAAGCGCGCGUAGGUGGUUUUGUAAGUUGGAGGUGAAAUCCCCGGGCUCAACCUGGGAACUGCCUCCAAAACUGCAUGACUAGAGUACGGUAGAGGGUAGUGGAAUUUCCUGUGUAGCGGUGAAAUGCGUAGAUAUAGGAAGGAACACCAGUGGCGAAGGCGACUACCUGGACUGAUACUGACACUGAGGUGCGAAAGCGUGGGGAGCAAACAGGAUUAGAUACCCGGGUAGUCC
RNAcentral lists this ribosomal RNA (450 nucleotides) under uncultured bacterium. RNAcentral describes it as "bacterial SSU rRNA". It matches the Rfam family "Bacterial small subunit ribosomal RNA", at positions 354 to 796 of the family's 1533-position model. The record is from RNAcentral.